Non-coding RNA from Microcebus murinus (gray mouse lemur), 1783 nucleotides. The record is from RefSeq and is a predicted model, not a curated record. NCBI's taxonomy places the organism in Eukaryota, Metazoa, Chordata, Mammalia, Primates, Cheirogaleidae.
CGCCUCGGAGCCUGCGGGCGCCGCCGAGGCCGAGGAGCGCUCGCUGCAGCACAUGCUGCGCGCCAUAGCCGACGAGCGCGGCCGCGUCUGCCUGCGCCGGGAGGUCUGCGGCCUCGGGUGCUUCAAGGAUGACCGCAUCGUCUUCUGGACGUGGAUGUUCUCCACCUACUUCAUGGAGAAAUGGGCUCCCCGGCAGGAUGACAUGCUUUUCUACGUGCGCCGGAAGCUGGCUUAUGCUGGCAGUGAGAGCAGCACCGAGGGGAGGAAGGUGGCUGAGGCCGAGCCCGAGGUGGAGGUGGAGGUGUACCGGCGGGACUCCAAGAAGCUGCCGGGCCUGGGAGACCCUGACAUUGACUGGGAGGAGAGCGUCUGCCUGAAUCUCAUCCUGCAGAAGUUGGACUACAUGGUGACCUGUGCGGUGUGCACGCGCACGGAUGUCGGGGACAUUCACAUCCACAAGAAGAAAUCCCAGCAAGUGUUUGCGUCCCCCAGUAAACACCCCAUGGACAGCAAAGGGGAGGAGUCCAGGAUCAGCUACCCCAACAUCUUCUUCAUGAUCGACAGCUUCGAGGAGGUGUUCAGCGACAUGACUGUGGGGGAAGGAGAGAUGGUCUGUGUGGAGCUGGUGGCCAGCGACAAAACCAACACGUUCCAAGGCGUCAUCUUCCAGGGCUCCAUCCGCUAUGAGGCGCUGAAGAAGGUGUACGACAACCGAGUGAGCGUGGCCGCCCGCAUGGCACAGAAGAUGUCGUUUGGCUUCUACAAGUACAACAACAUGGAGUUUGUGCGCAUGAAGGGGCCGCAGGGCAAGGGCCACGCUGAGAUGGCGGUCAGUCGGGUGUCCACAGGCGACACGUCCCCCUGUGGGACUGAGGAGGACUCCAGCCCAGCAUCGCCCAUGCAUGAGCCGGUGACCUCCUUUAGCACCCCUCCCACCCCGGAGCGGAACAACCGGCCCACCUUCUUCUCCCCGUCCCUCAAGAGGAAGGUGCCCCGGAACCGGAUCGCUGAGAUGAAGAAGUCGCAUUCGGCCAACGACAGUGAGGAAUUCUUCCGAGAGGACGACGGUGGAGCCGAUCUGCACAACGCAACCAACCUGCGGUCCCGGUCCCUGUCCGGCACGGGAAGGUCGCUGGUCGGGUCCUGGCUGAAGCUGAACAGAGCAGACGGAAACUUCCUUCUCUAUGCACACUUAACCUAUGUCACUUUGCCACUGCAUCGGAUUCUGACAGACAUCCUGGAAGUGCGGCAGAAGCCCAUCCUGAUGACCUAGCCGUGCGCGGAGCCCGUGUGGAGCCCCGGCCCCGCCCGGCCCUGGGAGUGCUGCCAAGUGCCUACCUGUCCACCGCCACCGGAGUCUUCUGUGACAAGCCAGCGCCGGAGCCGCAGCCAGGCGGGGCCACUCAACUCCCGGGGCCAGGGCCGACUCCACGACCACCAGCCCAAACUGAAGUGCCUCUUUCUCCUCCCUUGCUGGCUCUGCUCCGCCCCUCGCCCACCGCCCAGCGCCAGCGCCCAGCCGGCUCUGCAGAGCCCUCUGCACCCAGAGAGGACAGAGGUGUCAAGAGGCCGUAACAGAGAGUGGCCGUGGGGAGAUGGGAACCCAAGAUGUUUGAUGGCUUUGCCCUGGGCUGGGAGUGCCUCACCCGUGCCCAGCUCCAGAAAGACCUUGAGCUGACAGGCCCCGGUCCUGCCAGAACGGCCUUUUGCUUCCAGCCAAAGAACACCGCCAACGCACACACCUCCGCCCGCGACGCCGGCCGGGCCUCACACGGAGUGACCG